UGAAACUCAUCACGGUUAUCUCGAAUCAGACCAUGGAGGUUAUCUGGAAGAGAAGGGAGAAGCAAAUUAAGGAACUUAUCAACAUCAAUGGUAUCGGUAUUGUUCUCAGCCAUAAUUGUAUGAGAAAAAAGAGCGAUUUCAGAAAUGCAGAUUCGAUCGAAUUUAGAUUUUAGAAAGAUAGGGAAAACAAAAUACUCUAAAAUCUUUGAAACCCUAUUUUUAUCUUCUUCUUUUAUUUUUUUUUAUUAUUUUUUUUACAAAAAACGCGUGGUGGUGUUGGUGGUGGACCCCUCUUCAUAUUUUAUUUGAAUAAGAUUGCCACCGUUGAUAUUAUAUUAUUUUUUGCCUUCGAUCGAUUAAUAGCUUUGUAACCCUUUGUUUCUAUUCAUUUUCAGAUUCAAGAUGGAGCUGAUUUUCAGAAAGAAGAUAGAACGACUGUUUGCCUCCGCCGUCGAUCUCUCCGUAGCUAGAAAUAAUUUGUAUGUCUCCUCCGUCAUCGGCAUCAUCCUUUGCCUGCUUCCCCGUAAAAAUAUAGGAGGAAAUCUCUUCGAGGGACAGCCAUCGGCCUUCUAUGCCCUGGUAAUAUCUGUCGUAUUUACUUUCACCGGUUCGUUCACGGCGUUGAUGAUAGGAGAUAACUCCAAGACUUCAAGAUUCUGCACACUUUAUUCCUUGGUCGCCAUGAUUUUAGCUUCAUCAAUUCUCGCUCAUGUGUUUUUAACAUGAAUAGGUGCCUUCUACUUCUCUUACAAUAACCAUAUCUCUUCUUCUGCAUCUGGCGUUGAGUCUUUGGAUCUGGUGAUUGUAGGAUCUAGCCUUGGUUUUUUUUUUUUUUUUCUUUUGAAUGAAGUAUCUGGUUAUUAUCGGCGAGUUAUUGGGUAGUAAACGGACUCUAUGUUCUUUAAUUCUCCUGCAUUAAGCAAGAAAUUAU
Molecule: long non-coding RNA, 931 nt
Filed under: Durio zibethinus
Lineage: Eukaryota; Viridiplantae; Streptophyta; Magnoliopsida; Malvales; Malvaceae
Description: long non-coding RNA (DZIB_LNC000613)
Source: RNAcentral